ACUACGGGUGGCAGCAGUGAGGAAUAUUGGUCAAUGGACGAGAGUCUGAACCAGCCAAGUAGCGUGAAGGAUGACUGCCCUAUGGGUUGUAAACUUCUUUUAUAAAGGAAUAAAACGAGGCAAGUGUGCCUUUUUGCAUGUACUUUAGGAAUAAGGAGAGGCUAACUCCGUGCCAGCAGCCGCGGUAAUACGGAGGAUCCGAGCGUUAUCCGGAUUUAUUGGGUUUAAAGGGAGCGUAGAUGGGUUGUUAAGUCAGUUGUGACAGUUUGCGGCUCCACCGUAAAAUUGCCAUUGAUACUGGCAGUCUUUCUUACAGUUGCGGUAGGCGGCCUUCGUGGUGUAGCU
Molecule: ribosomal RNA, 345 nt
Filed under: uncultured bacterium
Lineage: Bacteria
Description: partial 16S ribosomal RNA
Rfam family: Bacterial small subunit ribosomal RNA
Source: RNAcentral